UGUUUGGAGUGUCUUAUUGGUUAGUCCUGCUCCAAAACGAACAAAUUUCCAAAUUUGCCCUCUCAACCUCACUUUCACUCCUAAACCCAACUUCACCUCCAUUUUCUAUUCCAACCCUGACCCCAACCACCACCACCACCACCACCACCAACGCCGUCGCCGCCACCACCUCCGCCUCACCUCUGCAACCCCGCCCUCUCCCUGUAACCCCGACCCACUCGGUCUGCCACCCCGCCCAGCCCCAUACUUUCCUCGUUUUAAUGGGUGACCGCAGAAAAGGAAAAGGAGAAAGAAGAGUACUAAACCUAAACCUAAACCUAAACCAAAACCAGUACUUAGGAGGUGGGUGGUAUGUCGACUGUUGGAAAUUCUGAUCGCCGUACCGAUCUUCCGUCGUAUUGGAAUUUAAGCCGACCAUGGAAGAAAGAAAAGCAGACAAAGGUCGAGCUCCACUCCCUCAACCUGGAGUUCUUCGUCCACAUCACAGAGCCCAAAUUGAUAUCGUGAAUGCCGUAGGUUCGCCGCUUACGGUGGUCAAUCUUUUGCAAUUUUUUGAGGAUGGUUUCGUAUGAUCUGGCAACCCACGGAAGAGAUGUUCUUCUUCAUGGAGCAAGCUAACCAGCUUCUUAAUGGUUAUACGCUACAUCAACCUCAGCCAUCUUCUUCUCUCUAAAAAGAUGGUCACGAAUGAUCGUCUCCUCCGAAUUUAGUCCUUCCUGCUUCGACGGCUUCUUCUCUAUCUCAGGGCUUCUUCGAUAAGCUCGUUGACUCUGAGUUGCUGUUUUUUCUUCUCUCUUUUCUUUUCUGCAGGUUCCCCAUCAAAACGGGAAGAGAUGGAGCUGGGCGGGGGCAGGCCCUGCAGGGAGCAUGGUGCCGUGGCAGACAAGGUGGUUCGGGGUUGCAAAGAGGAGAAGCGGCCGGGUGUCGACAGCGGUGGUGGUUUUAAAACUCGGAAUCGGUCUCUACAGAGCAGGAUCGGAUUUAAUCGGACAGAUUUACCCCUAAUUUUUUUAGAUAGUUUUUUAAGUAGUGGAUCAGAUCCGUUGAUUGGUCUUGGCUUUUACCGAUGCGAUCCGAUUCACUUUUUAAAACCUUGGUUGGAGGUGGAGGUGGAGGUGGAGGAGGUGGAGGUGGGGGGUAGAGAGGGAUAAAUUUGGAAAUAUAUUCAUUUUGGAGUAGGACUAACCCUAUAAAGCAUCCGGAACAUCACUUUUCAAA
Long non-coding RNA from Macadamia integrifolia, 1218 nucleotides. RefSeq lists it as uncharacterized. The transcript has 2 exons. NCBI's taxonomy places the organism in Eukaryota, Viridiplantae, Streptophyta, Magnoliopsida, Proteales, Proteaceae. The record is from RefSeq and is a predicted model, not a curated record.